This 300-nucleotide ribosomal RNA is filed under the name uncultured Gangjinia sp. Its description in RNAcentral is "bacterial SSU rRNA". It matches the Rfam family "Bacterial small subunit ribosomal RNA", at positions 496 to 795 of the family's 1533-position model. The record is from RNAcentral. Lineage: Bacteria; Pseudomonadati; Bacteroidota; Flavobacteriia; Flavobacteriales; Flavobacteriaceae.
GCUAACUCCGUGCCAGCAGCCGCGGUAAUACGGAGGAUCCGAGCGUUAUCCGGAAUUAUUGGGUUUAAAGGGUCCGUAGGCGGGAUAAUAAGUCAGCGGUGAAAGUUUGUGGCUCAACCAUGAAAUUGCCGUUGAUACUGUUGUUCUUGAGUUAUUGUGAAGUGGUUAGAAUGUGUAGUGUAGCGGUGAAAUGCAUAGAUAUUACACAGAAUACCGAUUGCGAAGGCAGAUCACUAACAAUACACUGACGCUGAUGGACGAAAGCGUAGGUAGCGAACAGGAUUAGAUACCCUAGUAGUC